Mauremys reevesii (Reeves's turtle) is the source of this 659-nucleotide long non-coding RNA. RefSeq lists it as uncharacterized. Lineage: Eukaryota; Metazoa; Chordata; Testudines; Geoemydidae. The transcript has 6 exons. The record is from RefSeq and is a predicted model, not a curated record.
GUCUUUCAGGUAUUCAUACAGUUCUUUGCUCUCCCUGGGCUUAGUACACUGCAGAGAGACAAGAACUUGGGUAACAAACCUGUCACCAUUAGAGCCAUCCAGACCUCUUGAAUUGAUCCUCCUUGUUGCCCUCCCAACUGACAGCACAGCAAUGCCUUUCAUCUAAAGUGCCGAGGAGCCCUAGUGACAGACCAGGACCACAUUGUGCUAGAUGUCAUACAAACACAGAACAAAAAGAAAACCUUCCUGUCCGAAGAAGCUUGCAAUCUGUAUAUAAGACAAGAUGCAGAGGGAUAUACACAGAUAGAAGAGAACAAGAGUUCCAGUGCUGAAGGAAUUCAACUGGAGGAAACUUAGAUCAUAGCUACCAAAGCCUGAAUAGUGUUUGAAAGAGGAGAAUUAAAAAUGGAUGGACUUUGAUAUCCAAGUGCCCUGAGACCCAAGUUACAGGAACAAAGAUAAUAUGAACAGUUAGAACAACACGCCAGAACUUAGAUCCUCAACUAACAGCAACUAAACGUCAAAACUGAGAUGAGAACCUACUUGACCAAAAAAACAACAACAAAAAAACAAAAAAAAACAAAAAACACAGCUCAAAUGAUAUCAGUGGCAGCACAAUGUAGUUACACAGAUUGUUUGGCUCUGCAUCCACAUCCAGG